RNAcentral lists this transfer RNA (36 nucleotides) under Darevskia derjugini. Its description in RNAcentral is "partial tRNA-Thr". The record is from RNAcentral. Lineage: Eukaryota; Metazoa; Chordata; Lepidosauria; Squamata; Lacertidae.
CAAAGCCCUAGUAGCUUAAGUUAACCUAAAGCCUUG